UAACGCGUGAGCAAUCUGCCUUUAAGAGGGGAGUAACAGUCGGAAACGGCUGCUAAUACCGCAUAAAGCAUCGAAACCGCAUGAUUUUGAUGCCAAAGGAGCAAUCCGCUUUUAGAUGAGCUCGCGUCUGAUUAGCUGGUUGGCGGGGUAACGGCCCACCAAGGCGACGAUCAGUAGCCGGACUGAGAGGUUGAACGGCCACAUUGGGACUGAGACACGGCCCAG
RNAcentral lists this ribosomal RNA (225 nucleotides) under uncultured bacterium. RNAcentral's name for it is "partial 16S ribosomal RNA". It matches the Rfam family "Bacterial small subunit ribosomal RNA", at positions 111 to 334 of the family's 1533-position model. The record is from RNAcentral.